Molecule: long non-coding RNA, 502 nt
Organism: Vombatus ursinus (common wombat)
Lineage: Eukaryota; Metazoa; Chordata; Mammalia; Diprotodontia; Vombatidae
Exons: 3
Source: RefSeq, a predicted model, not a curated record
GGCCAAUAAGGAAGAAAGAAUCAAAGAUGGGGAAACAGAGGCCCAAAGUGAUCUGCCCAAGGUCACAUGGGUAGAAAAUGACACAAGACCAGAAUUUAAGCCCAGAUCCUGACUCCAAACCCAGUAUUCUUUUCAUUGAGAUAAAGACACUGAGGUUCAGAGGGAUGGAGCAACUGUCACAGGAAGAGCUAGGAUUCAAACCCAAGUCCUCAGACUCAAAAUAAAGUGUGUUCUUUGCACUGAACCACACGCCUUAAAUUAUCUUCCCUUUAGAUCCCUUUAGGUCAAAUCUCAUCACCAUCCAAAAUAGAGCAAGUCUUUUGUUGAGCUUUUAAAGACCUUCAUAACCUGGCCCCAGCCAAUUUUUCUAGACUCACUGGACAUGACUCCACCUUCUGUACUCUGGGAUCCCAUUAAACUGGCCUUUCUGUUCCUCAUACAUAUGGAGUAUUAACUCCAUUCCUCUUCCUCACGCCUUUGCAUUGGCCAUACCAUAUCCUCA